AUGUUCAGAAUUUCUAAUUCAACAAUAAGGUAACAACAGAAAAGCUAACUGAUUGUCUCCAAAACAUCAAGUAUGACAAAAUUGUCUCGCAAAAAUUGCCAGUUCGGCUAUAGAUAGCACCACCAAAACAAGGAGACAUCCCCCUUCAAACUCUAAAGCCUCUGCUAUUUCUUCUUCCCCUAGCUCUCUCAAAUUUCCUACCCUUGGACCUAACAUAUGGUUCCAACAAGCACUGCAAUUUUGUCCUCCUUUCCUUCCAUGAACUUGACAAGCCUGGAGAGUGACAGAGGAGGCUUAUUGAUCUUACUCAUGAACAACCUCUUCAGCAGCACAGCAUUGAACCUGCUGCCUGUCCUCCUCUUCAAAGUUUAGGUACCAAAACUACAUUUUUCUCAUACUUAGGGAGCUGAUUAUGAAAUUACAGCUGUAGUGUAGUCAUUUAUGGCCUAGAACUUGAGAAACUUGGUUGAAGCUCAACCUCCCACAAAGGAUGAGCUUUGUUGUAAGAAAAGCUAAGGUCAGAGCAAGGCUGAACCAGAAUAUAAAGCAAUUGUGCUUUCUUCCUCCCUCUUUGCCUGAGUAUUCUGUCAUACUGCAUUAAUGCUAGCAAUAUUCAUUGACAUCCAGAAGGUAUGAUGAAAUGCUUGUAAAGGAGCAAAUGGCCUUGCAUAUCCCUUUAUCUGCUACUUUUUUUCCCUUCGUUCCUCAUUUUAUCGUGACAAUUAAUAAUUUGCCAUUUUUUUUCUCUAGUUUUGGAUGUUUACAUUUUGAAUUUGUGCGAUACCUGUGUAUUUCUAUAAAAAGAAGAUGCUAAUAUCUUCCUUUUGGCUUUCAGUCACGUUUUAGCUCCACUCUGGUGGUUUUGUAAAACUUUAUCCCUUUCUUGACUAUUCAACUUAUUUUUGAUUUGGUUCAUUGAAUUGUUUUUCUAUGGAGCAAUUUACUAACAAGGAGACGAGAUAAGGUUUGAUUUUGUGGUGUCCACUGUGUCAUAGGAUUUCCUUGUUGUCAGAAGAUUCCAUAUGGUUAUGAGGGCAAUUCUUUUUGUAGAUGUGGCAUUACAAAAUGUACAAACUCUGGGAAGGAUGACAUAUUCGAAGCAUAGGAAAGGACAGGAUGGCUAUUUGCUAAGAAGAUCAAGAGACUUGGUGCAUUGAUCCUCCAGAUGCAUUGAAACAGUGAACUUCGAUUAGCAUAAUGUCACUAGAGCUGUUAAACGAAUCAAACUGUUCGGUAGCUCGGUCCGUUUCGAUUCGUUCGUGUUCGUGAAAGACUCGUUCAAAACCUUAAACGAAUCGUUUGUGUUCGUGAAAGGCUCGUUCAAAACCUUAAACGAACUGAAUUCGAACAAAUUUUUUUGUUCGAUUAAUAAUCGAGCAAACACGAGCACGAGUAUGUUUGUGAGUUUUGACGAACGUUUACGAAUAUGGACAUAAUUGUCAUUUGACAAAUUUUAGGGUUAAUUUUAUGUCUGGACUUU
This 1480-nucleotide long non-coding RNA is filed under the name Coffea arabica (coffee). RNAcentral's name for it is "long non-coding RNA (CARA_LNC006203)". Lineage: Eukaryota; Viridiplantae; Streptophyta; Magnoliopsida; Gentianales; Rubiaceae. The record is from RNAcentral.